GCGCGGGUGGUGGAACUGGCAGACACGUACGCUUGAGGUGCGUAUGCCCGAAAGGGUUUGGGGGUUCAAGUCCCCCCUCGCGCA
This 84-nucleotide transfer RNA is filed under the name Elusimicrobia bacterium GWA2_66_18. Its description in RNAcentral is "tRNA-Leu". It matches the Rfam family "tRNA". Rfam says of the family: Transfer RNA (tRNA) molecules are approximately 80 nucleotides in length. Their secondary structure includes four short double-helical elements and three loops (D, anti-codon, and T loops). Further hydrogen bonds mediate the characteristic L-shaped molecular structure. tRNAs have two regions of fundamental functional importance: the anti-codon, which is responsible for specific mRNA codon recognition, and the 3' end, to which the tRNAs corresponding amino acid is attached (by aminoacyl-tRNA synthetases). tRNAs cope with the degeneracy of the genetic code in two manners: having more than one tRNA (with a specific anti-codon) for a particular amino acid; and 'wobble' base-pairing, i.e. permitting non-standard base-pairing at the 3rd anti-codon position. Lineage: Bacteria; Pseudomonadati; Elusimicrobiota. The record is from RNAcentral. RNAcentral also lists the same sequence under 4 other names.